GUGUUCGUAGAAAGGAGAGAUGGUUGGCAUCUCCCCUGACAGGGACGGGAACAGCCUUCGGGCUUUCUUGUGACACAUUCGGUUAAGGCUCUCCACUUCGGUGGAUCUUACAACCCAAAUUUUUA
Small nuclear RNA from Cephalotus follicularis, 125 nucleotides. The record is from Rfam. NCBI's taxonomy places the organism in Eukaryota, Viridiplantae, Streptophyta, Magnoliopsida, Oxalidales, Cephalotaceae.